This 1124-nucleotide long non-coding RNA is filed under the name Gallus gallus (chicken). The record is from RNAcentral. Lineage: Eukaryota; Metazoa; Chordata; Aves; Galliformes; Phasianidae.
GAAAUAGAUAGGGACCCAAGGUGAAAACAGCAGCAGAUGUGAAAACAAAGAAAAAACUACCUCCCACCAGGAAAUUCAUAUUUAAGGAGCAUAUAAAUUGUAUUUUUGGAAAAGACAGGGUAUCUGUAAAGUUGGUAUUCAGAUGAAGACUGGCUGCACUGGGGGUGAAGUAGAGAAUGGAAAACUAAAAAACGAUUUCCAGAUAGUAACAGGUAGAAAGCAAUACGUGAAACCACAGUUCUGCCUGUAUCAAGAGGUCCGACAGCACACUGAUGUUGCCUGAAAAAAUAUCUAAAGAUUAGGAGAUUUGUGGUAACUCCCCUCAAGCACAGUAAACAGUCCAGCACAAAAUCAUAGACUGCCAGGUCUUUUUGUACAUUUCAUAGCCAACAUGCUGAAGUGGAUGACUGAAAUACAUUUAGUCUUGCUUCUUAAAUCUAACAUCAUUAAUAACAGCAAGGAUUUCACUUGAUCAACAACAAGAUCAUAUACUAGUUAAUAUACACACAAGUAAAAUUGACAGUGAUUGUUCAGUAAACAGUUUAAAAUAAUUAAACUGGUUUUCAGGACGCAUACUGAUUUGUUAACACCACCUUAGUUAAAUAAAUUAUGGCUUCCGGGAGGUGUAUUCUCACAACUGCUUUCAAUCAAUUCCACUUGUUAAGGCAGUUAUUUCCUACCAUGUUUCAGGGACUUCAAAAAUUUCAGUGGAAUUACUUGUGAGGCCUCCUGCUGAAACUUGUUCGCUCUUGAUUUUUUUGAACCUUUUGGCUCUCUUCUUAACAUCUGGAGGGGACUCCGCAUAGGAGUUUGUCUGAUCUUCUGGAACCCCUUCCUCUUCCAAAUUGUCAGGACCAGUUUCUUCCUGAAUAGGACUCAUACUUCUCUUUCCCACUAUACUGGUGCCUGUAAAACUGUUAAUACAGUAGUAUCGACUCUGGGAAAUGUAAGGUGCACCUUGAGUUUUCAACCGUUUUCUCUCCAUCUCCUUCCAACUAUCUUCUGUACAUUUUCUCUUUGCUCGCUUUUCUUCAUGUUUUUUCUCAACAUACUCUGCAUAUGUCUGGAUCCUGUAACUUUCAGCGUAUCUGCUGGUAUUUACAGCUAUUUGUACUUGUUCUGGC